UACGGAGGGUGCAAGCGUUGCUCGGAAUUAUUGGGCGUAAAGGGUAGGUAGGUGGUCUCAUUUGUCUGGGGUGAAAGCCUUGAGCUUAACUCAAGAAGUGCCCCAGAAACGGUGAGACUAGAGUCUUGGAGAGGGUCGUGGAAUUCCCGGUGUAGCGGUGAAAUGCGUAGAGAUCGGGAGGAACACCAGAGGCGAAGGCGGCGACCUGGGUAGAUACUGACGCUGAGGUGCGAAAGCGUGGGGAGCAAACAGG
This 253-nucleotide ribosomal RNA is filed under the name uncultured bacterium. Its description in RNAcentral is "partial 16S ribosomal RNA". It matches the Rfam family "Bacterial small subunit ribosomal RNA", at positions 524 to 776 of the family's 1533-position model. The record is from RNAcentral.